CUAAGGUAUAUCCGGUACUGGUAUUGCAGCUGCAGUGCUUGGUGCAUUAUUAGCUGCACUACUCGUUGCAUUGGCAGCAUACACUGCAUUCAAAUUAUGCAUUUGUGAAAAGGGAGAUUAUCACUGUGAUGUAGUUGACGGGGUUCCCGAGGGAGAGAUUCAUAAUCCGAGCUGGGAUUAUCCUUCUCUAGAUUUUAUACCAAACGAUGAAGAGAUUGUCUUCACACUCGCGCAGGCGAAGGAUAUGGUUGGUGCGAGUAAUGCUAGUACUAUUCAUGUUACUGAUGAAGUUGUGAUGCAUCAACUUCCAGAACAUGCUGCAGACAAUCCUAAUCAUCAAUAUAAUCAUCAAGAUAACCCAGCUUACAUUGAAACAGAGAUCGAUAGAAUAUCAUGAUUAAUCAGGGAUCUAUUAAUGAUCAAUUCAAGAUGUAUAAAUGAUAAAUCAGUGAUCAAUUCAUGGUUCAUUUAUGAUUAAUUCAUGAUAAAUCACUGAUCAAUUCAUGAUAAAUUACUGAUCAAUUCAUGGUUACUUUUUGAUCAAUUCAAGAUAUAUCAGUGAUCAAUUCAUGGUUAAUUUAUGAUCAAUUUAAGAUUUAUCAGUGAUAAAGCAGCGAUCAAUAAGUGAUCAAUUAGUGAUAAAGCAGUGAUAAGUUCAUGAUAAAUCUGGAAGGAAUGAGUCUUUUAAAAUCGCAAUAUUUUUGCAAUAUAACGUCGUAAACCUUAGAUAUUUCAAACUAUGAAUCCUGUCAGAUCAAAUGAUAUUAGUUUGAAAUAUAAGAGAUUUAGUGCAACAAAGGUUGCAAAGAUAUAGUGACAAAACUCAUUUAUUUUUAGGGUCAAUUCUGACAAAUUAAUGAUCAACCAUUAUUAAAUUCAUGGUAAAAUUAUGAUCAAUUUAUGAUAAAUUAUUGAUUAUUUAAUGAGAAAUUCCUAAUCAACUAGUGUAAAUUCAUUAUUAUUUUACGAUCAACUUAUGAAAAAUUCCAGGAUCAACCAGUAAUAAAUUUAAGCUCAAUUCAUGAACAAUUAAUGAUCAAUUAUUAUUGAUCAAUUCAUCUUAUAUUUAUGAUCAAUACCGUUAAAUUAAUGAUCAAACAGUAAAAACUUUAUGCGUAUAUUCAUGAUUUAUUCAUGAUAAAUUUGAUCAUAAUUAAUCUUUCAAAAACUUAUAUUUCUCUUACGGCAUAACAUAGUUAUUUAAAGUUAGACGAAAUAGUCCAAUUUUCUCACAAAAUGUUCUAAUUUAUAAUUUAUGUUUAUUUCUAUUUUUAUAAAUUUCAAAAAUUAUUCUUCUAAAUCUUUUGAUAUUAGUAUUUAAUAUGUUUUAUGAAUCUCAAAACUCUACCUUUUAUAAUACCUUGACGCUAAGUAAGUGAGAAGAAAAAUAUAUGUUUAAAGGCAGUAGGCCCAAUUGACAUGGAGAUAUAAGGGUAAAGAUUAAAAGUUGUGUUUUAUUUGGGCAAUAAUAUUUAUUUUAAUUUGUCAUUCAUUAAAAUACCAGAUAUUUUUUUAUUUCAAGCUUUUACAAUACCAACCUUAUAGUUGUUUAAAGGACAUAUAUUUGCAAUAAAAUAUGAUUUUUACAACACCAACCUUAUAGUUGUUUAAAGGACAUAUUUGCAAUAAAAUAUGAUUUUUUGUUACUUAAUCCUCUUUUUUUCUUGGAACACACUUUCCAAUGCGUUGGAAACAUUAAAUUGUAAAUUUGAUCUUUGAAAACCCCUGCAACUGAAAACCCCUGGAACUGAACACCCCCUGCAACUGAACACCCCCUGCAACUAAAACCAAAAAUACACACUAGAAGCUCUCAUGUCUUAGUUUAAAAAAGUGCUCUGAAAUUUUUGGGAGAAGCAAACCUAGUGAUGCUGGGGGUUGUUUACAUUUUUCCAAUAAAAUGCAGUACCCUGUUUUUUGUAUGGGGUUUCAUGGUGUAUCUUUUCUUAUCUUAAACUUUACAGUGUGUAAAUACUUUGUAAUUAGCGCUUCCUAAAUUAUAUUUAUAUAUAUUGCAAACAUCAACUGUACUGCAGUGUUAUUCCAGAAGUUAAAGCAUACUUUCUGUUUAUAUUCAGUCGUCGUCGCAUAUAUCAAUACAAUGAAGACGACUUUCUAUUUCAAUGUUUAAUUCCACCUUAAGCUUUUAAACAGCAU
Long non-coding RNA from Eurytemora carolleeae, 2154 nucleotides. RefSeq lists it as uncharacterized. The transcript has 4 exons. NCBI's taxonomy places the organism in Eukaryota, Metazoa, Arthropoda, Copepoda, Calanoida, Temoridae. The record is from RefSeq and is a predicted model, not a curated record.